UACGUAGGGGGCAAGCGUUGUCCGGAAUCAUUGGGCGUAAAGAGCGUGUAGGCGGCCUGAUAAGUCGGCUGUGAAAGUCAAGGGCUCAACCCUUGAAUGCCGGCCGAUACUGUCAGGCUAGAGUCCGGAAGAGGCGAGUGGAAUUCCUGGUGUAGCGGUGAAAUGCGCAGAUAUCAGGAGGAACACCUAUGGCGAAGGCAGCUCGCUGGGACGGUACUGACGCUGAGACGCGAAAGCCAGGGGAGCAAACGGG
RNAcentral lists this ribosomal RNA (253 nucleotides) under uncultured bacterium. Its description in RNAcentral is "partial 16S ribosomal RNA". It matches the Rfam family "Bacterial small subunit ribosomal RNA", at positions 524 to 776 of the family's 1533-position model. The record is from RNAcentral.